RNAcentral lists this ribosomal RNA (433 nucleotides) under uncultured bacterium. RNAcentral's name for it is "partial 16S ribosomal RNA". It matches the Rfam family "Bacterial small subunit ribosomal RNA", at positions 29 to 507 of the family's 1533-position model. The record is from RNAcentral.
AACGAACGCUGGCGGCAUGCCUAACACAUGCAAGUCGAACGAGACCUUCGGGUCUAGUGGCGCACGGGUGCGUAACGCGUGGGAGCCUGCCCUUAGGUUCGGAAUAACUCCCCGAAAGGGGUGCUAAUACCGGAUAAUGUCUUCGGACCAAAGAUUUAUCGCCUUUGGAUGGGCCGGCGUUGGAUUAGCUAGUUGGUAGGGUAAAAGCCUACCAAGGCGACGAUCCAUAGCUGGUCUGAGAGGAUGAUCAGCCACACUGGGACUGAGACACGGCCCAGACUCCUACGGGAGGCAGCAGUGGGGAAUAUUGGACAAUGGGCGAAAGCCUGAGCAAGCAAUGCCGCGUGAGUGAUGAAGGCCUUAGGGUUGUAAAGCUCUUUUAGCCGGGAUGAUAAUGACGGUACCGGGAGAAUAAGCUCCGGCUAACUACGUG